AGAAUCAACGCUGGCGGCGUGCCUCAGACAUGCAAGUCGAACGCGAAAGUUCCCUUCGGGGAGCGAGUAGAGUGGCGCACGGGUGAGUAACACGUAGGUAAUCUACCUUUGGGUGGGAAUAACAGCCGGAAACGGCUGCUAAUACCGCAUAAUGCAGCGGCUCGACAUCGAGACAGUUGUUAAAGCGGGGGAUCGCAAGACCUCGCGCCUAAAGAGGAGCCUGCGGCGGAUUAGCUUGUUGGUGAGGUAAUGGCUCACCAAGGCUUCGAUCCGUAGCCGGCCUGAGAGGGCGUCGGCCACACUGACACUGACAGUACGGGUCACGACUCCGUAGGGACGCAGUCGAGUACGGGAAUUUUGGGACAAGUGGGCGACGAAGCCGU
Molecule: ribosomal RNA, 383 nt
Filed under: uncultured soil bacterium
Lineage: Bacteria
Description: bacterial SSU rRNA
Rfam family: Bacterial small subunit ribosomal RNA
Source: RNAcentral